UCUGGUGCCAGCAGCCGCGGUAAUUCCAGCUCCAAUAGCGUAUAUUAAAGUUGCUGCGGUUAAAAAGCUCGUAGUUUGAGUUGUGUCCUACGCCGUCGGUUCGUCGCCCGUCGGCGUUACCGUUCGGUCAUAUCAGUGGGACGUCCAGUCGGUGGGGCGCUGGUCGCGCGCGUCGCCUUCGGGCGACUAGCUCGGUGCCGGCCUCAUGCUACCUGUCUCGGUGCUCUUUACCGAGUGUCUUGACGGGCCGACUCGUUUACUUUGAACAAAUUAGAGUGCUCAAAGCAGGCUACGACGCUUGAAUAUUGUCUGCAUGGAAUAAUGGAACAGGACCUCGAAUCUAUUUUAUUGGUUUUCUGAUUCGGAGGUAAUGAUUAAUAGGGACUGACGGAGGCAUCUGUAUUGCUACGUUAGAGGUGAAAUUCUUGGAUUGUCGCAAGACGAACGUAUGCGAAAGCGUUUGCCGAGAAUGUCUUCCUUAAUCAAGAACGAAAGUUAGAGGUUCGAAGGCGAUCAGAUACCGCCCUAGUUCUAACCAUAAACAAUGCCAACCAGCAAUCCGUGGAUGUUCCUCCGAUGACUCCACGGGCAGCUUCCGGGAAACCAAAGUUUUUGGGUUCCGGGGGAAGUAUGGUUGCAAAGCUGAAACUUAAAGGAAUUGACGGAAGGGCACCACCAGGAGUGGAGCCUGCGGCUUAAUUUGACUCAACACGGGAAACCUCACCAGGCCCGGACACUGGAAGGAUUGACAGAUUGAUAGCUCUUUCUUGAUUCAGUGGGUGGUGGUGCAUGGCCGUUCUUAGUUGGUGGAGCGAUUUGUCUGGUUAAUUCCGAUAACGAACGAGACUCUGGCCUACUAACUAGUCGCGAAACGACAUCCGCAUUCGUGCUGUCGGCGACAAUAUGAACUCUUCUUAGAGGGACAAGCGGUUCUACCGCACGAGAUUGAGCAAUAACAGGUCUGUGAUGCCCUUAGAUGUUCUGGGCCGCACGCGCGCUACACUGAAGGAAUCAACGUGUGCACAUCCUUGUCCGAGAGGACCGGGUAACCCGCUGAAACUCCUUCGUGCUAGGGAUUGGGGAUUGUAAUUAACCCCAUAAACGAGGAAUUCCUAGUAAGCGCGGGUCAUUAUCCCGCACUGACUAGGUCCCUGCCCUUUGUACACACCGCCCGUCGCUACUACCGAUUGAAUGAUUUAGUGAGGUCUUCGGACUGACGCGCGGCUAUGCGCAAGUGUGUCGAUGCCGGCGGAAAGAUGAUCAAACUUGAUCAUUUACAGGAAGUAAAAGUCGUAACAAGGUUUCGU
Molecule: ribosomal RNA, 1307 nt
Filed under: Ostrocerca albidipennis
Lineage: Eukaryota; Metazoa; Arthropoda; Insecta; Plecoptera; Nemouridae
Description: SSU rRNA
Rfam family: Eukaryotic small subunit ribosomal RNA
Source: RNAcentral